AACGCACAUUGCGCCCGCUAGUAUUCUGGCGGGCAUGCCUGUCUGAGCGUCAUUUCAACCCUCAUGCCCCCCGGGGCGUGGUGUUGGGGAUCGGCCAAAGCCCGCGAGGGACGGCCGGCCCCUAAAUCUAGUGGCGGACCCGUCGUGGCCUCCCCUGCGAAGUAGUGAUAUUCCGCAUCGGAUAGCGACGAGCCCAUGCCGUUAAACCCCCAACUUUACAAGGUUGACCUCAGAUCAGGUAGGAAUACCCGCUGAACUUAA
Molecule: unclassified non-coding RNA, 261 nt
Filed under: uncultured Clonostachys
Lineage: Eukaryota; Fungi; Ascomycota; Sordariomycetes; Hypocreales; Bionectriaceae
Description: sequence contains ITS2
Rfam family: 5.8S ribosomal RNA (bases 1-52)
Source: RNAcentral